CUCUAGAUUACGCCACCCCCUUUAAGACCAAACUUCGGGAAUAAAAGGGAAUCAUGGCAUGUCACACGUCAUGUGUCCUUAAGGGGUUAACAAAUAAAGUCAGGCAGAGGGAGAUUCCACUUGGAAGCUCGCUGUGCUGUGAGAUCGUUAGUCAUUAUAAUCGAAGUCCUUUUCAUACACUGUAUUCACUGCUUCUCUACAAGCAGCCCUAGUCAGCUUUGGUAUUGUUGUGUGUGUGGAAG
Pelobates cultripes (western spadefoot toad) is the source of this 242-nucleotide non-coding RNA. NCBI's taxonomy places the organism in Eukaryota, Metazoa, Chordata, Amphibia, Anura, Pelobatidae. The record is from the annotation of a GenBank genome assembly.